Long non-coding RNA from Motacilla alba alba, 7435 nucleotides. RefSeq lists it as uncharacterized. NCBI's taxonomy places the organism in Eukaryota, Metazoa, Chordata, Aves, Passeriformes, Motacillidae. The record is from RefSeq and is a predicted model, not a curated record. The transcript is spliced from 2 exons.
CCCAUCCAGCCCUGCCCUAUGGCAGUGGGAAGCCCUUCCUUUUGUCCUGUCACUCCAGACCCUUGUAAAAUCUCCAUCUUUCCGGGUGGGCCCUUCAGGUACUGAAAGGCUACAAUUAGGUCAACACAAAACCUUUCAUUUUCCAGGCUGAACAACCCCAAAAAAGAUGAGGGUUGGUAAAAUAUUGUUAAUAUUUCCCUGCAUGGGGAACCUUAUUUCUCUCAACCAUGAACAGCAAGGAUAAUGAUGCACCCAAAAUCUGUCAGGGAGCUGCAAACUAAUUUGGAAGGAAUUAAGCACAACAUCACUUUGCUGCAGCUAAGCUCCAUCUUAAAACUAAAAGGGGAAAAAUGGCCUAUUGUCCAUCAAAUCCAGCUUUUCCUGAGACAAGCUGCAGUUAAUAACAACAAAAACUCGCCUAAAGAAUCAAGUCCUGCACAUUUAUUUUUGACAGCCCCAGCUCAGGCACCUGUUUUCUGAACUGUGACUCAUUGUGCAUCUCCUCUCUGAGUGCUGCUCUCCAGGCCGGGAGACAGAGCAGGGAGGGAAUGACUCAGAGCCAGUGAGGGAUGAGGAAUUUGGAAUUUGAGCAGGGAGGGCAGGAGUGAGUUGAGUGAUGGAAUGAGGAAUUUGAGCAGGGAGGUCACAGGAGUGAAGGACACGCUGCACCCUCUGCAAGGCAGAACCAGCCCUGGAGCCGGGGACCAGAUUCUGCACUCAGGGAGGAAAAUGUGACAUUUCAACAAGCAGCUUCAUUGUGACCUGGACUGCAGACCUCACCCAGCACCAGCCCUGCCCUGCCUGUCACCUGAUGUGACCUAGAUCCAAGCUGUUCUCCUGCAAGAAGAUUUUGAGUGAACUUGGAAAGCAGAGAUCAGAUGUGAGAGAUGGCUCUUAAGGGUAAACUUUUAAAAGGUACAUAAAAUAGGUAUAUUUCCAAAUUUUGUAACAACCUCUAUCAGAUGCUUAAAACCUGCCUCUGCCAGCAACUUCCAUUCAGAGGUUUUGAUAAACCCUUUGUUGAAUUACAGAUGUGAUUCUUUUUUACUGAAGGCUUAAUGGCACAAUAAAGUAGACAUUAUUCAAAUCUAUUCAAAUAAGGUGCAUCUCUCAGACAUUCAGCACAAGAGGACUGCUUUGAGAGGCGCCUGAACAGCAGAGUCCCAUCGUGGGAGCAGAUCCAGAGGGGAGAACAAAGCCCUGGUGCUCGAGUGGGUGGGCAAAGACCGCAGUCACUGGCCCUGGACACAUAGCAAGAACAGCAGAAAGCCAGUCAAGCCCUCCCAGGCUGGAGCCCGUGGGCAGCCCUGUCUGGGGCAAACAGCUCAUGGUGCUUUACAGGUGGGGGCACAGCCCCGUGCUCCCAGAGGCAGCAAAAGCUGCUCUCAGUUGCUUUCCACAGAUGAUUUUACUGGCCCAAACCAGCACUAAAAGCCAAGUAAUUCCAGUUGUUUCUGAGUUUUGAUGUGUAUUUAGCAUGCAUAAAGUGCAAGCCAUUAUAGACAUUAAAAGCAAUAAGAAACAGAUUAGGUGAUUUCAUUAGUCCAGCUUCUCCAGCAGGAUUUUCCACAUGAACAGGGCAUUUCCCAGGGAUUUGACUGGGCUAUUUCUAGGGGACCCUGAUGUGGAAUACACCACCAGUUCCCUUGGGAGUCAAUUUCACAGCCAAAUACUUUCCCCAAGUAGGCUGAAUUGUGUGAUGCUCAACCUAAACACUUUUAUUUUAUCUCAUUAUUUCUAUUUAUGCUGCUUUUACUUGACAAAUUCAAAAAGUUAAUAAUGUGUCACAUAAAACUAAUGGCCAGAACAAUAAAUAUUCUAUAUAAUUUCACAAACACAGCAUCAGUUUUAUUUAGGUUCUGUGAUACAUUGCCAGCAUAUUGCGUUUCAAGAUGUAUUAAAAAAAUACUGUGGAGAAUUUUUUUUCCUUAACAAGAAAACAUGUUUCUGUGGUUUGAUCAAAUAAGUCUUACACGGUUUUCAAUUUCCAGGAAGGAAAUUAAAAUAAAGGAAAAAUCUUAUGGUGGUGGAUGAGAAAAGGAACAUUACCCAAACAGUUCACUUUUAUUACUUGAUUCCACUUGUUCAGGUAAUUUCGCUCUGUAGAAAAAGGGUCAAAUUCCAUUUGCAAGUUUUUAAAUUGUGCCAUUAAAAUCUGAGUGAACAUUUGCAAAACAAGUUACAAGCAAUUUCCUAUUAAAAAUAGAUGAUUAAACUUUAAAAAUUAUAUUCUCAGGGUAGUAUGUGUGUCCUGCAAGAUAGAGAUGAAUGAACUUCUAGCAAUAAUUCACAGUAAAUGAGUUUAGAUUUAAAAUUUACAUUUACCUUGUCCCUGAUAGCUGCCUUGGAAUUUUAGAGGGGCUGGGGAAUGAACUGACUUGGUCCCAGAACUGGGUUGCUGCCUGAGAGGAACUAACAAAAAUCACAUUCAAGCCCUCAGAUGGAUGUUAGCAGCCUGACAUGGGGAACACAGAUCUGAGCACCCCGGAUCUGCAGCCCACAUGCCACCAGCCCCCCGGGGCCCCGAGUCUGCUGCCCCUUAUUUAACAACUGCUCUCAAGGGCUCCAGCGAGUCCAGCAGCAGCCAGCCACCACUCGGGUGAAGGGGAGGGAUUUGUGAGGUGAAUUUGGAUCUCCAAGGCAGCUCCCCUGAAAUGACCAAAUCUUGUGUCACGGUUUGAGCCUGGCCACUCACGGAUGCCAACACUCAUCCUCCUUCACUUCCCAGCCACACCCCAGGGAGGGAUGGAUGAGGCCAUGGGGAGCAAAUCUGGGAGAUAUGUGCAUAUAUAUGUGCAGUGGUGGGUAUUUAUUUUGAUUUUGUACAGGUGAAGGGGCAGGACCUUUACAGUUCUUUUCAAGCAUUCAGCUGGUUUUUGCACAGGAAAACAAAGUAAAAAACCCAACUAAAUGGGACAGCUGGAUGAAGAUUGCAAACACCACACACAAAACAACUAUUUGGCAUAAAUGAAUGCAAAUAAGUCCUUGAUAAUGCUGUCAAGAAGCUGCUGGUGUUAUUAGUACUUCAAUCAGAGAGAUGCUCGUUAGAGGGAAAAAAUGAACUUAGAAAUUCCUUCUCCUGUGGGAAACUUCACGCUCCUUCCUCUCCUUCCAGCAAAUUCCUCCUUAUCAGCUAAAAUCAGGGUCCAACCUGCGGAAAUGUUUACAGUCUUCAAACCUAAAACUAGUUAGAAUCACUUAUCAGCCAAAUGUUCCCUAAACACAAGGCAGGCUUAACAGAUAUGUCUGCUGAUCUCAUGACAGCUCUCUUCUAAAGAUCUAUAUUCAAUAUUAUAUCAUGGGAGUAGAAAAAGUUUCCCCUAUUUUUUUCCCUAAUUUUGCAAUAGAAUUCAAAAUAAGAUACUGGAAACUUGUUUACUGGAAAUAAUUAAUUGGGUGAAGGUUUUAUCAGGUAUUUUUCUUGCUGUUUUGGUAGGAGGGAUCACAGCCAGCCUCUGUGGAGUUCUAGUGCAGCUAAUCCACUUUACACACCUCAACAGCCCAGGGAACGCUCCCUUCCUACUCCUGGUACUCCUUCAAAGGGGAUCCCACACUUUUCCAUGCCCUAAAACUGGGGCAGCAUAUGAGGAAAAAACACCAAAUAGAAAGUACAAGCUGGGGUGUCCUCCCUGUAUAUUCCUUUGUCACCUUGAUGCUCCAGGAGGAAGCCUAAAGAGUGGAAGUGGUUUUGCUGAAGACAAAGUGACAGCUACACACAGACAGCCUUGGAAUUCCUCUGUGUUAAUGUAUGGAAAAGCUCCUAGACCCAGUAACUGCCAGAAAGCCCAGAAAUAAGACUUUAAAAAUUAAAUUGCCUUUCCAAAGGCAAGUUGAGAAACCCAGAGCCUACCUUAGCCAGGUCAGGCAAAACCACACUGGCCUUUUCUGGUCUCAAAGGCUGCAUGUGAUCCAUCUCCAGCAAGUGCCACAGCAGAUCAGGAUUAUUCCCUUUAUUUCCCCCCCCAUCCCUCAAUUUCAUCCCCUCACUGCAACUAGUAUCCUUCUGAGGACAGGAAUGACUUUCAGCCUAUUUGUAUCAUCCUUGAAAAACCCUAAGCUGCUCUGUCUCUAACACAUCUUGAUCAGACAAAAAGAAAAGUGGUUCAAAUUGUGCCUCUGGAGGUUUAGACUGGGUAUUAGGGAAAAUUUCUUCAUGGAAAGAGUUGUGAAGCAUUGCACAGGCUGCCCAGGGAAAUGGGCAUCACCAUCCGUGGAAAUGUUCAAUAACCCUGUGGAUGUGGUACUUGAAGACAGUUUAAUGGUGAACACGGUGCUGGUGCUGUGUUCAUGAAUGCACGUGGUGAUUUAAAGGUGAUUUUCCAGCCUUACCAAUUCUAUGAUUUGACACAGCCUGGCCAUUUCUGCUUGAUGAGGCUUUUGUGCAUCACAGCUCACACCUGGCCUCCUUCCAAAUCCUCCUCUUGCACAGGACCCCCAGUCCCAGCUCACUGGAGCUGUCCUUGCCCUGCUUACACUAACCCAGCUCACUGAAGGUGAGUAGGCUGGGAGACAUCACAAAAGCUGGUCCAUCAGCAAAUCUGAUGGACCAAAAGCAGGUCAGCAACAUGUGAAGUAAAGGGGAAAGUGAGUCAUCAAGAAUGACAACCAGAACAGGAUAAAAGCUGUAAAAACCAUCAGUUCUUUGGCCUUUAGUUCUUUGCUGAACUCCAGCUGCAUGAAACAGCCCAAAAUCAAGCUACAUGUCAAAAUUAACAUGAAUUCACCCUGUAGAAGUGCUGGAGCUGGCAGAUGCUUCAUUUCAAAUCAUUCCUCACCCUGCAGCUUCCCCAAACCCUGCACCCCUGUAGCACAGGACUUACUACUCAUUUCUCUGCUCCUUUACUGCUGGUUGCCGUUUCAUUGCAAUAUAAAAGGAAUUUAACAAGGGUAUCGCUCAGAUGCAAAAUACAAAUAGACUGAAAAUAUAUUAAUUAAUCUGUGGUACCCCCUACCCACUCCUAAAUCAGCUCAUCACUUUAGCUCUGCACUGCGCGAACAGAUGGGAUCUUCUGGCAGCCUUUGAACCACUCAAAAGCACUUUCUCCCAUAACAAAGCAAACUAAUUACUAGAAUAAGAUGCUAUUUCCCAUCUAUUUAUCUGCUAUUUUUAAGGAAUCAGCUCGCUGUCUGAUUCAGGAUUUGCAGUGAAGCCCUCAAACAGCAGAAUUAAAUGCACAUUGGUACAAUGGAACAGAACACACUAAAUGAACUUCUGCUCACCAAAUGCUUCUCCCUUUCCCUUUAGGAAACUAAGGAUCAUGGAUGCAAAGAUAAUCAACACUUAGCACUGGCUUCACGUGCUGGAUCCCUGAACACAGCAGACCAGAGACUGCUCCAGCUCUGCUCUAAAAGAUUCAAAAAUAAUUUUUUUCCAACUUGAGGAUCGUUCUUUCCCAAUGCAACCAUUUUCUUGUUGACCCUGUAAGUGCUUUGCUCAACCUCAGCACUUGCUUGCUAGGCUGUGCAUGUUUUUUCCAAGGUAACUUCUUGCCUUUAGCAACUUCAAGAUAGGUGGAAAUCAAUGUCAAAAUUAUAAACUUCCCAAAUUCUUUCGGGAAAGCUUCUAAGCAUGGCUGCAGAGGAUUACAAGACUUAGAUUAAUCCGAUAACAAGCCCUAAAAAAGCCUGAGCUACAGCAAUACCAGUUCAGACACUUGGAUGAGUCCCAGGCACCUAAGGAAGUUAAACACACUUAGAAAAAUCAUUGCAAUAUUCAGCACGUCUGAACGCACAAAGAGCUGCAGAGAGAAGCUAACAGAUUUUGUAAUAACUAAGCAAAUUUAGUGGUAGAUUUGUGAUUCAGUGGGUAUUUGUUGAGUGGCAAAUAAACCAAAGCAGCUAGUUACGUGUUGCCUAGCUGCAGCCUCUAAUAGGAAUUGCUUCCCUGCAGGUAAAUCACUUUCUAUUACUCCUAAGUACCCCAGGAAAACUACUAAUUGAAAACACAGUUCUAAUACUGUCCAGCUGGAAAACAUUAGCUUAGGAUGGAACUAGCUUGACACUGGCUGCCAACUGGCUACGGACAAUGGAAUAGGAAAUUAAUCUUUUGCAGACAAGACAUACCAUUUUCCACUUCUCCUUUGUAACCUUCAAAUCAACUCGUCAUUAACCAACGGCUUUGAUUCCCAUGGGGAAAGAAAAGCAUUACUGAAUUCAUGAUAAUGUAAGUCUGGCUUUCUUGCAUUAAAAUGAAGACUCUAAUUUUGACAUAGUGGAUGGCAGAGGAACUGGAGGGCAGAUAUAACAUCCAGCACCACAGUAACAUUCCCCUCUUUUCUUGGCUUAGAGUUAAAGAACAGCCAGAUCACAAAGCGACCACAAAGAGAAGCACAGUUGUUCAAUUCUGUAUUGCCCCAGCCCAUCUUCCUGCAGCUCCCUCCUGCCAAGAGCUUUUUCCUAUGCAGGUGCAAAAGGGAUGAGCGGAAAAACCCAAGCUCCUGGCUAGGAGGUGUUAAACCAUAACACCCCAUACAUAUUCAGACUGGUUUUUCAUUUCUAUUUAAAUUCAUUUCCAUGCAGGGACCAACAGAUCAGACUAUCUCAGAAACAUCAUUCCCCAAGUUGCUUCCAACCCACAACCUUCCUGAGCCUCCUCUCCUUUUGUGAAACACUCUGGCCUUUUACAACUACUUUUAUUCCUUAGCCAAGUUCUCCAAGAUGAGAAAAAACUAUAUAAACCCCAUCAAAUCUAGUAACUCUCCUCGUCAUGCAGAGGCACCCUUGUUCUGCAGCUACACCUACCAGCAGAUGAUGGUAGGGGUCCCUCCCCAUGGCAGGGAGCUGGAAUGGGAUGAUCUUUAAGCUCCCCUCCAACCCAAAACAUUGACUGAUUUUAUGGAGUUACCCAUUGGCACAACAUUUCAGGUGCACAUUCAUCUCUUCAGCUCCAGAUUCCUGUACAGGGUUUGUGCCACUGCAUGAAUCAGACCACCUCAUCUGUGCCCAAAAUUGAUUAAGAAACAUGUAUCUGAGUUAUCAGCACAGAGGUAAUUACCAGUUCCUAAUGCUUUCUGGGUCUAAAAUAGGAUAUUUCUCCACAGUCUGUCUUAUUAUGCUUCAAACCAGCUUCUCCAUCCAUUCCAGAGGAACUCAAGGAAGCCAGACAAGAUGAGGGCAGCAGAACAAGAGGAGGAAUAACACACUCAUCAGAACUGAAGAGAUCCAGAGUUUAUCCUCUCAGUAGUUUGAGUGCAGACAACUUGUCAGAGAUCAAAAAGUUUAGAACAGCUUUGUUCUGGCCUGAUCCCACAGGAGAGGUGUUUUUAGCUACUUCCAGACAACAGAAGAUGAAGGGAAGGGCCCCAGACAGCCAGACUGAAACCCAAAACCAUCAGAAGCCAGGCUACAUCCUCCCAGAUCUGUCUCCAGCCCCAUGCAACAUCCAUCUGCAUCCCACGGCCUUUUUGAUGAGCAAUGAAAUAAAGGUUCAGUCUCA